AGAGUUUGAUCCUGGCUCAGAAUCAACGCUGGCGGCGCGCUUAACACAUGCAAGUCGCACGAGAAAGGGGAGCAAUCCCUGAGUACAGUGGCGUACGGGUGAGUAACACGUGGGUAAUCUACCUCUUAGUGGGGAAUAACCCUGGGAAACCGGGGCUAAUACCGCAUAAGCCUGAGAAGGGAAAGCAGCAAUGCGCUGAGAGAGGAGCCCGCGGCCGAUUAGCUAGUUGGCAGGGUAAAAGCCUACCAAGGCAGAGAUCGGUAGCCGGCCUGAGAGGGCACACGGCCACACUGGCACUGAAACACGGGCCAGACUCCUACGGGAGGCAGCAGUGGGGAAUCUUGCACAAUGGGGGCAACCCUGAUGCAGCGACGCCGCGUGAGCGAUGAAGCCCUUCGGGGUGUAAAGCUCUUUCGGCAGGGAAGAUGAUGACGGUACCUGCAGAAGCAGCUGCGGCUAACUACGUGCCAGCAGCCGCGGUAAUACGUAGGCAGCGAGCGUUGUUCGGAGUUACUGGGCGUAAAGGGUGUGUAGGCGGUUCUUUAAGUUUGGUGUGAAAUCUCCCGGCUCAACCGGGAGGGUGCGCCGAAUACUGAGGGACUAGAGUGCGGGAGAGGAAAGUGGAAUUCCUGGUGUAGCGGUGAAAUGCGUAGAUAUCAGGAGGAACACCGGUGGUGUAGACGGCUUUCUGGACCGUAACUGACGCUGAGACACGAAAGCGUGGGUAGCAAACAGGAUUAGAUACCCUAGUAGUCC
RNAcentral lists this ribosomal RNA (756 nucleotides) under uncultured bacterium. RNAcentral describes it as "bacterial SSU rRNA". It matches the Rfam family "Bacterial small subunit ribosomal RNA", at positions 8 to 796 of the family's 1533-position model. The record is from RNAcentral.